RNAcentral lists this unclassified non-coding RNA (20 nucleotides) under Chlamydomonas reinhardtii. RNAcentral describes it as "small RNA Cre_1955". The record is from RNAcentral. Lineage: Eukaryota; Viridiplantae; Chlorophyta; Chlorophyceae; Chlamydomonadales; Chlamydomonadaceae.
GGGUUGCCGCAAGGCAUCGG